GCCGGGGUGGUGAAAUUGGUAGACGCGCUGGUUUCAGGGACCAGUGUCCUUUGGGACGUGGGGGUUCGAGUCCCCCCUCCGGCAC
This 85-nucleotide transfer RNA is filed under the name bacterium BMS3Bbin04. RNAcentral describes it as "tRNA-Leu". It matches the Rfam family "tRNA". From Rfam's summary of the family: Transfer RNA (tRNA) molecules are approximately 80 nucleotides in length. Their secondary structure includes four short double-helical elements and three loops (D, anti-codon, and T loops). The record is from RNAcentral.